GACGAACGCUGGCGGCGUGCUUAACACAUGCAAGUCGAACGGAAAGGCCCUGCUUUUGUGGGGUGCUCGAGUGGCGAACGGGUGAGUAACACGUGAGUAACCUGCCCUUGACUUUGGGAUAACUUCAGGAAACUGGGGCUAAUACCGGAUAGGAUCUCCUGCUGCAUGGUGGGGGUUGGAAAGUUUCGGCGGUUGGGGAUGGACUCGCGGCUUAUCAGCUUGUUGGUGGGGUAGUGGCUUACCAAGGCUUUGACGGGUAGCCGGCCUGAGAGGGUGACCGGCCACAAUGGGACUGAGGUACGGACCAGACUGCUACGGGAGGCAGCAGUGGGGAAUAUUGCACAAUGGGCGGAAGCCUGAUGCAGCAACGCCGCGUGCGGGAUGACGGCCUUCGGGUUGUAAACCGCUUUCGCCUGUGACGAAGCGUGAGUGACGGUAAUGGGUAAAGAAGCACCGGCUAACUACGUG
Molecule: ribosomal RNA, 468 nt
Filed under: uncultured bacterium
Lineage: Bacteria
Description: partial 16S ribosomal RNA
Rfam family: Bacterial small subunit ribosomal RNA
Source: RNAcentral